Small nucleolar RNA from Macadamia integrifolia, 94 nucleotides. RefSeq annotates it as small nucleolar RNA snoR26. Lineage: Eukaryota; Viridiplantae; Streptophyta; Magnoliopsida; Proteales; Proteaceae. The record is from RefSeq and is a predicted model, not a curated record. The transcript has a single exon.
AGAGCAUCGUUGAUGUGUGGAAUCCUUACUGUUAUCUUUGCACUUUUGUCGUCAGUGAAGAAACUUUUUGGGGAUGAUUAUUUUGAGAAUGAUC